This 119-nucleotide ribosomal RNA is filed under the name Pteropus alecto (black flying fox). Lineage: Eukaryota; Metazoa; Chordata; Mammalia; Chiroptera; Pteropodidae. The record is from RNAcentral.
GCCUAUGGCCAUGCCACCCUGAACAUGCCUGAUCUCGUCUGAUCUUGGAAGCUAAGCAGGGUCAGGCCUGGUUUGUACUUGGAUGGGAGACCACCUAGAAAUACCUGGAGCUGUAGGCU